This 119-nucleotide ribosomal RNA is filed under the name Arabidopsis suecica. The record is from RNAcentral. Lineage: Eukaryota; Viridiplantae; Streptophyta; Magnoliopsida; Brassicales; Brassicaceae.
GGAUGCGAUCAUACCAGCACUAAUGCAUCGGAUCCCAUCAGAACUUUGCAGUUAAGCGUGCUUGGGGGAGAGUAGUACUAGGAUGGGUGACCUCCCGGGAAGUCCUCGUGUUGCAUCCC